This 1505-nucleotide long non-coding RNA is filed under the name Salmo salar (Atlantic salmon). Its description in RNAcentral is "lncRNA (ENSSSAG00000116108.1)". Lineage: Eukaryota; Metazoa; Chordata; Actinopteri; Salmoniformes; Salmonidae. The record is from RNAcentral.
AUAGGCUGAUUCUACAGUAGGUUGUUAAUGAUAGGCUGAUUCUACAGUAGGUUGUUAAUGAUAGGCUGAUUCUACAGUAGGUUGUUAAUGAUAGGCUGAUUCUACAGUAGGUUGUUAAUGAUAUCCUGAUCAUACAGUAGGUUGUUAAUGAUUGGCUGAUUAUACAGUAUGCUUUUAAUGAUAGGCUGAUUAUACAGUAGGUUGUUAAUGAUAGGCUGCUUCUACAGUAGGUUGUUAAUGAUAGGCUGAUUCUACAGUAGGUUGUUAAUGAUAGGCUGAUUAUACAGUAGGUUGUUAAUGAUAGGCUGAUUCUACAGUAGGUUGUUAAUGAUAUCCUGAUCAUACAGUAGGUUGUUAAUGAUAGGCUGAUUAUACAGUAGGUUGUUAAUGAUAGGCUGAUUAUACAUUAGGCUGUUAAUGAUAGGCUGAUUCUACAGUAGGUUGUUAAUGAUAGGCUGAUUAUACAGUAGGUUGUUAAUAAUAUCCUACUUUUACAGUAGGUUGUUAAUGAUAGGCUGAUUAUACAGUAGGUUGUUAAUAAUAGGCUGCUUCUACAGUGCAGAAAUAAGUAUUUUGCAGAAAUACAGUAAGUGUUUAGUGUUUUAACGUAAGUUAUUUUUGUGUGUUGCUGUCCAUUGACUGAUGGGGGAUAUCAGGCUAUUUUGUUAUUUUUAUAUGAAUUAUUGAAUAACUCAUUGUACUCCGUUGAUGUGAUAUGUGUACUUAUUAAGGUAGCGAGGUAUUGUAGUGAUGCACAGUGGUGAUUUCUAGUCACAAUAUGCCAGCAGCAGACCACCCUGCAUCCCACUGCUGGCUUGCUUCUGAAGCUAAGCAGGGUUGGUCCUGGAUGGGAGACCAGAUGCUGCUGGAAGUGGUGUUGGAGGGCCAAUAGGAGGAAUUGUAGUGAUGCACAGUGGUGAUUUCUAGUCACAAUAAACUACUAAUGUUUUCAGUUAAUACUCUUCAGGAUUUUGUAUGAUUUUUAUUAGCCUGGGUGCCAGUCUGUAUAGCCAGUUAUACAUGAUUUUUAUUAGCCUGGGUGCCAGUCUGUAUAGCCAGUUAUACAUGUGUCACGUCCUAACCAGUAAAAGGGGUUGUUUGUUAUUGUAGUUUGGUCAGGGCAUGGCAGGAGGUGUUUGUUUAGGGUGUUUCGGGGUGUUUUGGUUUAUGUUCUAUGUUAGUGUAUUUCUAUGUUCGUUCUAUUUGUUCUAUUUCUAUGCGUAGUUUAUUGGGUUGAUCUUCAAUUGGAGGCAGCUGUUCCUCGUUGCCUCUAAUUGAAGGUCCUAUUUAAUAGAGGUGUUUUUGUCAUGGGAUUUGUGGGUAGUUGUUUCUCUGUAUAGUCAUUUUGUCCUUACGAGACAGUUUUUUCGCCGUUGUUUUGUGUCACGUUUCUUUAUAAAUAAAGAAGAAGAUGAGCACUUACAUUCCCGCUGCGUUUUGGUCCACUCCAUACGACGAAUGUGACAACAUGAGUUUUAUUAGCCUGGGUGCCAGUCUGUAUAGCC